GAUGAACGCUGGCGGCGUGCUUAACACAUGCAAGUCGAACGGAAAGGCCCAAGCUUGCUUGGGUGCUCGAGAGGCGAACGGGUGAGUAACACGUGGGUGAUCUGACCUGCACUUUGGGAUAAGCCUGGGAAACUGGGUCUAAUACCGGAUAGGACCGUCGUUUAGUGUCGGGGGUGGAAAGUUUUUCGGUGUGGGUUGAGCUCGCGGACUAUACGCUUGUUGGUGGGGUAAUGGCCUACCAAGGCGUCGACGGGUAGACGGCCGGUGAGGGUGGACGGCCACAUUGGGUCUGAGUGACGGCCCGGACACCUACGGGAGGCAGCAGGGGGGAAUAUUGCUCAAGGGGCGCGAGCCUGAUGCAGCGACGCCUCGUGGGGGAUGACGGCCUGCGUGUUGUAAACUCCUUUCGCCAAGGACGAAGCGUUUUGUGACGGUACUUGGAGAAGAAGCACCGGCUAACUACGUG
This 466-nucleotide ribosomal RNA is filed under the name uncultured bacterium. Its description in RNAcentral is "partial 16S ribosomal RNA". It matches the Rfam family "Bacterial small subunit ribosomal RNA", at positions 28 to 507 of the family's 1533-position model. The record is from RNAcentral.